GGCGGCCGUAACUAUAACGGUCCUAAGGUAGCGAAAUUCCUUGUCGGGUAAGUUCCGACCUGCACGAAUGGCGUAAUGAUGGCCAGGCUGUCUCCACCCGAGACUCAGUGAAAUUGAACUCGCUGUGAAGAUGCAGUGUACCCGCGGCAAGACGGAAAGACCCCGUGAACCUUUACUAUAGCUUGACACUGAACAUUGAGCCUUGAUGUGUAGGAUAGGUGGGAGGCUUUGAAGUGUGGACGCCAGUCUGCAUGGAGCCGGCCUUGAAAUACCACCCUUUAAUGUUUGAUGUUCUAACGUGGACCCGUGAUCCGGGUUGCGGACAGUGUCUGGUGGGUAGUUUGACUGGGGCGGUCUCCUCCUAAAGAGUAACGGAGGAGCACGAAGGUUGGCUAAUCCUGGUCGGACAUCAGGAGGUUAGUGCAAUGGCAUAAGCCAGCUUGACUGCGAGCGUGACGGCGCGAGCAGGUGCGAAAGCAGGUCAUAGUGAUCCGGUGGUUCUGAAUGGAAGGGCCAUCGCUCAACGGAUAAAAGGUACUCCGGGGAUAACAGGCUGAUACCGCCCAAGAGUUCAUAUCGACGGCGGUGUUUGGCACCUCGAUGUCGGCUCAUCACAUCCUGGGGCUGAAGUAGGUCCCAAGGGUAUGGCUGUUCGCCAUUUAAAGUGGUACGCGAGCUGGGUUUAGAACGUCGUGAGACAGUUCGGUCCCUAUCUGCCGUGGGCGCUGGAGAACUGAGGGGGGCUGCUCCUAGUACGAGAGGACCGGAGUGGACGCAUCACUGGUGUUCGGGUUGUCAUGCCAAUGGCACUGCCCGGUAGCUAAAUGCGGAAGAGAUAAGUGCUGAAAGCAUCUAAGCACGAAACUUGCCCCGA
RNAcentral lists this ribosomal RNA (874 nucleotides) under Salmonella enterica subsp. enterica serovar Schwarzengrund. RNAcentral's name for it is "partial 23S ribosomal RNA". It matches the Rfam family "Bacterial large subunit ribosomal RNA", at positions 1929 to 2802 of the family's 2925-position model. The record is from RNAcentral. Lineage: Bacteria; Pseudomonadati; Pseudomonadota; Gammaproteobacteria; Enterobacterales; Enterobacteriaceae.